RNAcentral lists this transfer RNA (73 nucleotides) under Camelus bactrianus (Bactrian camel). It matches the Rfam family "tRNA". Rfam says of the family: Transfer RNA (tRNA) molecules are approximately 80 nucleotides in length. Their secondary structure includes four short double-helical elements and three loops (D, anti-codon, and T loops). Lineage: Eukaryota; Metazoa; Chordata; Mammalia; Artiodactyla; Camelidae. RNAcentral also lists the same sequence under 2 other names. The record is from Rfam by way of RNAcentral.
GAGGGUAUAGCUCAGUAGUAAGAGUACCUGCCUACUAUGCACAAGGUUCUGGGUUCAACCCUCAGUACUUCCA